CUUCACAGUCGGUACGCUGGGCAGCACUGUCAUUGUCUGGGUCACGUUGGCACAACCGUCUUCUACCUGAUUUCCACCAUUAUCUGUACAGAUAAGAUGCACAUCUACAGAUUUCAACCAGAGAGAGAAAUGAGCCGUGCCAGGGAGGGUUUCUUCUGUGCUGACUGUUCACCAAACCUCUGGAGGUUUCCACACCACUGGCCACAUCCCCUGCUGGCACCAAUGGUGUGCGAUCACUCACUUCCUCUGGUUGUCGGUGAGCGUGAUGCCCUGCGCCGACACUUUGAAGUGGACGACGGUGGAGGCCGGCGGAGGAUCCAUGGACAGCGUCAUCGUGGUCGCCUUCUGGACCGCCUGGU
Molecule: long non-coding RNA, 359 nt
Organism: Lates calcarifer (barramundi perch)
Lineage: Eukaryota; Metazoa; Chordata; Actinopteri; Centropomidae
Exons: 3
Source: RefSeq, a predicted model, not a curated record